RNAcentral lists this non-coding RNA (25 nucleotides) under Mus musculus (house mouse). Lineage: Eukaryota; Metazoa; Chordata; Mammalia; Rodentia; Muridae. The record is from RNAcentral.
UGGCAUUUCUCAAUGGCUCAAAGGA